CAGCCGCGCGGUAAUACGAAGGGGGCUAGCGUUGCUCGGAAUGACUGGGCGUAAAGGGCGCGUAGGCGGCGAUCAAAGUCAGGCGUGAAAUUCCUGGGCUCAACCUGGGGGCUGCGUUUGAUACUUGGUUGCUUGAGUGGGGAAGAGGGUCGUGGAAUUCCCAGUGUAGAGGUGAAAUUCGUAGAUAUUGGGAAGAACACCGGUGGCGAAGGCGGCGACCUGGUCCUUGACUGACGCUGAGGCGCGAAAGCGUGGGGAGCAAACAGGAUUAGAUACCCCAGUAGUCCCUGUCUCUUAUACA
RNAcentral lists this ribosomal RNA (301 nucleotides) under uncultured bacterium. RNAcentral's name for it is "partial 16S ribosomal RNA". It matches the Rfam family "Bacterial small subunit ribosomal RNA", at positions 509 to 808 of the family's 1533-position model. The record is from RNAcentral.